This 543-nucleotide small RNA is filed under the name Pongo abelii (Sumatran orangutan). RNAcentral describes it as "retained intron". The record is from RNAcentral. Lineage: Eukaryota; Metazoa; Chordata; Mammalia; Primates; Hominidae.
AAGGAGAAUGUCAUAUUUAGUAAGAAGUACCUGCUUUAAACAUCAUAGAAAAACCGUAUACAUUAUAAUAGCAAUUGCUUUUCCAAUGUCUUCAUUCCAUGAUCCUGAGCCAAUUCAACAACACGGUUUCAGUUUUUGAGAGCCUGAGGCACUAACCUUGGUUGAUAUAACAUUUUCUUUCCUCUAGAUGUUCAAGCAGUUGCUUAUGAGGAACCAAAACACUGGUGCUCUAUUGUCUACUAUGAGCUCAACAAUCGUGUGGGUGAAGCGUUCCAUGCCUCCUCCACAAGUGUGUUGGUGGAUGGUUUCACUGAUCCUUCCAACAAUAAGAACCGUUUCUGCCUUGGGCUGCUCUCCAAUGUUAACCGGAAUUCCACUAUUGAAAACACCAGGCGGCAUAUUGGAAAAGGAGUUCAUCUUUAUUAUGUUGGAGGGGAGGUGUAUGCCGAAUGCCUUAGUGACAGUAGCAUCUUUGUGCAAAGUCGGAACUGCAACUACCAUCAUGGAUUUCAUCCUACUACUGUUUGCAAGAUCCCUAGUGGG